Molecule: long non-coding RNA, 1946 nt
Filed under: Homo sapiens (human)
Lineage: Eukaryota; Metazoa; Chordata; Mammalia; Primates; Hominidae
Description: non-protein coding lnc-AQP9-4:1
Source: RNAcentral
CCAUACUAGAAUGGAGUGAAACUGAGUUUUCACAGCUAAAAACUCCUGACUCCAGUCCAGUGCUUUAACCACAACGAUUAUUUGGAACUCAAGAUUCUAAUUGAUAAUAAAAUCAGGCUUCUUCCACUUAGGAAAGCUUAUGAGAUGCAAAGAACCAUGAAAAGUAUGCUCAACUUUUCUAGUCCAUAGGAAACUAUUUCUACAUAAUCAGAACACUCUUGGAGUCUGGAGGGGCCAUAUCACAUAGUUCUGGCCAAAGAGAUGUAGGCAAAGUCCCUUGGAUGUGCUUUAUUCAGCAUUUGAGUUGUUUUGGAAGGGAAAAUGUUCUGGCUAUCUAAUUCACUGUAUCACUGAAAACAGAAAUAGUCAAGCUGGUUUAUUUUUAGCCAAAGCUAAUUUCCAGAUUGCUCUGCAGAAAGUGAGUCCUUUUUAACUCAUUUAACAGACAUCAAUUGAGCAACUACUAUUUGCCAAAAACUCUGCUAGGAGCUAGCGUGGAAUGUAAGCCUAAGUAAGACAUGAUGUUGGUUCCCAGGAGCCCAGGAGACAGACAUGCAAACAAAUAAUUAUAACGCACUCUGGGAAAAGCUGUAACAGACUCUAUGCAAGGUGCAUGGGAGCUCAGAGCAAGCAGUAAUUAGUUUGGCUGCUGAGUUAGGAAAGACCUCAAGGAGAGGCAGCAUCUGAAAUAACAUCACAGAUGGAUGGGUCCAGAUAUGUUGAGCAUUUUUUCAUAUAUUUUUGGCCACAAGUGUGCCUUUUUUGAGAAGUGUCUGUUCAUGUUCUUUGCAUACUUUUUAAUGGGGUUGUUUUUUUCUUGUAAAUUUGUUUAAGUUCCUUAUAGAUGCUAGAUAUUACAACUUUAGUUUUCAGGGGGAAUGCUUCCAGAUUUUGCCCAUGCAGUAUGAUAUUGGUUGUGGGUUUAUCAUAAAUGGCUCUUAAUAUUUUGAGGUAUGUUCCUUCAAUACCUAGUUUAUUGAGAGUUUUUAACAUGAAGGGAUGUUGAAUUUUACCAAGGCCUUUACUUUGUUCAUUGAGAUAAUCAUGUGGUUUUUGUCUUUAGUUUUUUAUGUGAUGAAUCACAUUUAUUGAUUUGAAUAUGUUGAACCAGCAUUGCAUCCAGAGAUGAAGCCUACUUGAUCAUGGCGGAUAAGCUUUUUGAUGUGCUGCUGGAUUUGGUUUGCCAGUAUUUUGCUGAGGAGUUUUACACUGAUGUUCAUAAAGGAUAUUGGACUGAAGUUUUUUCUUUUUCUUUUUUUUUUUUUUUUUUUUUUUGUUGUUGUUGUAUCUCUGCCAGGUUUUAGUAUCAGGAUAAUGCUGGCCUCACAGAAUGAGUUAGGAAGGCAUUCCUCCUUUUCAGUUUUUCAGAAUAGUUUCAGUAGGAAUGGUACCAGCUCUUCUUUAUACCUCUGGAAGUGUUCAGCUAUAAAUCCAUCUGGUCGUGGGCUUUUCUUGGUUUGUAGGUUAUUACCGCCUCAAUGUCAGAACUCAUUAUUGGUCUAUUCAGGGAUUCAAUUUCUUCCUGGUUCGGUCUUGGGAGGGUGUAUGUGUCCAGGAGUUUAUCCAUUUCUUCUAGAUUUUCUAGUUUAUGUGCAUAGAGGUGUUUACAGUAUUCUCUGAUGGUUGUUUGUAUGAUUUUCUUAGAAACAUUGUCUUUUCUCUAGCUUACUUUAUUAUGACUACAAUAUAUAAUAUAUAUUAUAUACAAAAUAUGUGUUAAUCAACUAUGUUAUCAGUAAAGCUUCUGGUCAACAGUAGGCUAUUUGUAGUUAAGUUUUUGAGAGUAAAAAGUUUUAUGCAGAAUUUUGACGGUACAGGGGGUCAGUCAGUACCCUAAUCUUCAUGUUGUUCAAGGGUCAACUGUAAUUCGUAUCUUGCCUUUUUUCAGAAAGAAUUUAGGUUGACUCACAAAAAUAGGUAAAAUAUAUCAAAGGAAUAUAAAUCAG